Anolis sagrei ordinatus is the source of this 506-nucleotide non-coding RNA. Lineage: Eukaryota; Metazoa; Chordata; Lepidosauria; Squamata; Anolidae. The record is from RefSeq and is a predicted model, not a curated record.
AAUACCAGCCAAACUAGGAAACAGGAUCUGUAAAAAGCAAACGUUUGUAGAAAAUUUGAUCUUGGAGGAACUUGAUGCUAUUCAUUUCUUGUCUGUGUUCUGCAGUAACUCACCAUGUAACUAAGAUCAAACUAGAGCCGACAGAAAUCGUACAUUGUGAGGAAGGAUCUUCAUUGCUGAGCGGCAUUGUUUCAGAAGUCAACACUCUCAACAGGAAUCUUUGAGGACUCUGCAGAGCAAGGAGCAAACAGGACACUGCUCACUACAGAGGCUUCACCAUGAAGGUUUCUUUCAGCAUCUUCUUACUUGGAUUAUGGAUGGCAAGGCAUUGGCAUAUAUGUAGAGGACAAUAUCAAUUUCAAUAUCCCAAGCCUUCUAUAGUCUUGAGCUCCACAGAAGUGCCCCUUGGAGGAACUGUCUUCAUUCACUGCACAAGGCCUAGCGCCCUUCAAGAGGCGAAGUGGUUCAUACUGUACCAAGUGGUGGAUUCCAGGGUAAUUCACCAG